AAAGUGCUGGGAUUACAGGCAUGAGCCACCGUGCCUGGCCUGACUUAGGGUUUUGUAUGUUGACAUACUUCCAGGGUCUUGGAUUCCUUCUAAUUCUUCCCUUUAGGUGGGAUGUCCACGUGCACAGUAGCCUACUAGUGCUUGGGAGAUGAGCAUGCACAGUGUGUUUACUGGAGUUGUACACAUGCUCACUUGAGGUCCUUACCAGUCAGAUGUCCCUGGAAGGUCAUAUACCGUUUAAACCCCGCCCUCCUGCCAUUCUGCCUCUUAAUAUGCAUGCCUGAGCCCACUUGUCCAACUCCUGAGAUCUUAUCGGGAAGCUGCUGCUCACCAGUUUCAGGUGUUCUCUAUCUAUUAGGAGACUGCCUUUCUCUGGCACCGGCUGUGAUCAAUUAUUAUUUUAGAAAGAGAGUCAGCAACCGCCUGACCAUCACCUAAUGGUCACCUCACAUUCCAGGUGUGUGUGUGUGUGUAUGGGUGCUGGGAGCACCUUCCUGCCCUGCUUAUGCCUGACUAGCUACCUACUGUAACAAAUUCACUUCUGGGAUCUAUUUGCCAGUACUUGACUUAGAAUCUUUGCAUCAAUAUUUAUAAGUGAAAUUGGUUUCUGUUUUUCUUUAUCAUACUUUGGUAUUAAGUGUGUUCUAGCGUCUUGGAAUGAAUUAGGGGGAACCUUCCAUCGUUUUCUAUGGUCUGGACCAGUUCGAGUACAUAUUAAAUAUCUGUUCUGUGAUGAUGCGUACUGCCCAAUAUUAAUAAAGGUGUGGAGUAUUACUGAGUUUUUAAUCUUCACUAUUAUGAUCUUAAAAUAUGACCUUUUUUUAAAAGGAGUCCUCUAAAAUACUUUUCUUCCCCCCCUUCCAAGUUGCCAGGUUUUUGGUUAUCUCAUUGUUUUGCUUUUUAUUUCACUUGUGUUUAGAUAAAAAGUUUUUAAAUUUCACAUUUUUAGGCUGGAAACUUACUGCAACAGGAGGGAAUAUUUAGAGAGGAGAGGAACACACACACCAUGCAAGACUUUGUUGUGGCAUAGUUGGAGAUCUGAGAAGGGGAAGGAAACUGGAUUUAUCAGAAAGAGAGAGACCAGGGCUAAAUGUCAAAGCCUGGCUGCAGCCCUGAUUCCUGUAAGCUGAGUGACUUUAUGCAAGCCUUCUCUGACUUCAGGCUGUUUUUCCGUCAUCCAUGUAUCACGUUGAGAACAGCCUAAUGGAAUUGCUGUGAGGAUCAGAAGAAAUAAUAUUCAAGGACUUCUGAACCCUUAAGGCAUUAUUUGAUGCAAAGGGUACUGUUACAGGCUUAUUCUUUUCCAGUGAUUCGUUAUAAUAGAAUACUUCUUCAGUGAAAGGAGAUUUUUAUUUGUAAAUGUUUAGGUAGUUGUUGAUUUUUGUAAGAUAAUCAUUUUUUUUUUUUUUAAAUCAGGGCCUCUAAUGGUCAUGAGAUUAAAAACAGGUUUUAAAUUUCACCCCUUGUUUUUUUCACCAGGGAAAGAGACUAUUUUGUAGCAAACUAGUCUUCUAGCUCAAAGAAAAGAAAAGAGAAAUAUAUGUUUUUUUCUGGCGUGCAAUUUCAAUACCAGUUAAUUGAACUACAUGUUCUGAGCACCUGAAAUGAAAAAUAAUGACGAGUUCAUUCUGUCAAACUGUGUAAUCUCCUAGUCUUAUUGUGAAAACUUGCUGCAUCCUCUUGUGCCCCUUGUAUCUUCUUCACUGUUCACCCUAAGGGCCAAAGGAGAGUUUUCCCCUUGGCCCUGUAAAGGUUCACUGAAAAUCAAUUUACAAAAAGCAGAUUAAUAGGAGAAAAGGCAGAUUUAUUUAACAUGUAUACAUGGGAGCUUUCAGAAUGAAGAUCCAACCCCUCAAUAAGGUACAGAAGCUUAUAUACCACCUUGAGGUUAUAAAAAGAACGCAGGCUCAGAGUGUGGCCCAAAACAGGUUUUAAUGGCAAGACAGGUUAUAGGGGAGAGAAAAAAGGAGGCUUGGCUAGCAAAAGUGGCCUUGUUAUGUGGAUGAAGCCUUAUAGCUAGAACCCCUAGAGAGAAUAGAUAGUAAACAUGUCUUUUCAGACUUGUAAAGGUGUCAGACUCAAUCUCUCCCAGAUCUGUGAAAGGCCUAGAAAGGGAAGGCCUGGCUGCAUUAAUGGAGAUUCUCUACAGAUGCAAAUUUCCCCGACAAGAGACAGCUUUACAAGGCCACUUUGUCUGCUGGCCCUGUGGCAGCCAUUUCAAAAUGUGUCAAAGAAAUAUACUUUGGGGUAAAAUAUUUUUAUUUUCUUCAAGUGCAAUUAACCGUAAAGACAUAAACUGUACCUUUUGCGGGUGGCGGUGAGCGCGGAGAGGAUGCCAUGAAGGCCUUGGGCACACUACGAGAGUGCAAGGUGGUGGGUCGCUGCCCGCCCACCCCCAAAUGCCACACACUGCCCCUAUACCGCAUGCGAAUCUUUGCGCCUAAUGAUGUCAUCGCCAAGACCCGCUUCUGGUACUUCCUAUCUCAGUUAAAGAAGAUGAAGAAGUCUUCAGGGGAGAUUGUCUACUGUGGGCAAGUGUUUGAGAAGUCCCCCUUGCGGGUGAAGAACUUUGGCAUCUGGCUGCGCUAUGACUCCCGUAGCAGCACCCACAACAUGUACCGGGUGUUUCACGACCCGACCAUCGCAUGCGCUGUCAUCCAGUACUAGCGAGACAUGGGCGCCCGGUACGGCGCCUGGACCCACUCCAUCCAGAUCAUGAAGGUGGAGGAGAUCGCAGCCAGUAAGUGCCGCCGGCCAGCCGUCAAGCCACGAUUCCAAGAUCAAGUUCCUGCUACCCCACCCGGUCCUGCGCCAUCAGCACUAGCCGCGCUUCACCACCAGGAGGCCCAACACCUUCUAGGUCCAGGGCCUUCGCCCGGGUGUGCCCCAAAUAAACUCAGGAACGCCCCGGUGAAAAAAAAGAAUGAAAAAAAAGACAUAAACUGUAAAUACUAAGACAAUUGGUCGUGCCUGUUGACGGAGAACACGGCCCCAACCUCCAUGAUGUAAACCAAAAAUAAAAUCUUAAGUCCCCCAGCCAACUGAAUGGACCCUGUCUUGGCCUCAGAGAAAACUGAAAAACUGUGUUUUUGGCCGUGAUGGGAAGGGAGGUUAGACAUACCUCGUUAUACCCUUUCCCUGUCAGAGUUGGGCACAACUGACUAGCAUUAACAUUGAAAUAGAGAUUAUUAGGCUGAUAAAACAGACACUUUGUUGCCACAAAGAGUGGCACAUAAGAUAGCAAAUUCCAACCUGAUUCUGGUAUAGCAUCAUAUGACAGCCGACUCUGAAGGAAAUAAAAAUAUUUUACCCCAAAAAUAUAUUUCUUUGAUAUAUUUUGAAAUGGCCCUGCAAAACUGUUUCCUGUGGGGGGAAUUUGCAUCUGUAGAGAUAUCUCCAUUAAUGUGGCCAGGCCUUCCCCUUCUAGGUCUUUCUGGGAUCUAGGAGAGAUUAAAUGAAUUUGUUACCUUUAAGAUCUGAAAAGAGACAUUUACCUUCUAUGUUCUCUGAAAGCUGCUACCUGGAGGCUUCAUCUGCAUAACAAGAACCUUGGUCUGGCUGGGCCUGUAGCUCACACUUGUAAUCCCACACUUUGGGAGACUGAGGUGGGCAGAUCACUUGAGC
Cercocebus atys (sooty mangabey) is the source of this 3624-nucleotide RNA transcript. It is a transcript of the gene named 60S ribosomal protein L18a-like, with no coding region annotated. The transcript is spliced from 2 exons. Lineage: Eukaryota; Metazoa; Chordata; Mammalia; Primates; Cercopithecidae. The record is from RefSeq and is a predicted model, not a curated record.